This 503-nucleotide ribosomal RNA is filed under the name uncultured bacterium. RNAcentral describes it as "partial 16S ribosomal RNA". It matches the Rfam family "Bacterial small subunit ribosomal RNA", at positions 29 to 523 of the family's 1533-position model. The record is from RNAcentral.
AUUGAACGCUGGCGGCAGGCCUAACACAUGCAAGUCGAACGGUAGCACAGAGAGCUUGCUCUCGGGUGACGAGUGGCGGACGGGUGAGUAAUGUCUGGGAAACUGCCCGAUGGAGGGGGAUAACUACUGGAAACGGUAGCUAAUACCGCAUAACGUCGCAAGACCAAAGUGGGGGACCUUCGGGCCUCACACCAUCGGAUGUGCCCAGAUGGGAUUAGCUAGUGGGUGGGGUAAUGGCUCACCUAGGCGACGAUCCCUAGCUGGUCUGAGAGGAUGACGAGGCCAACUGGAACUAGAAGACGGUCCAGACUCCUACGGGAGGCAGCGGUGGGGAAAAUUGCAAAACGGGGCAAGCCUGAUGCAGCCAUGCCGCGUGUAUGAAGAGGGCCUUCGGGUUGUAAAGUACUUUCAGCGGGGGGGAAGGCGGUGGAGUUAAUAACUUCACCGAUUGACGUUACCCGCAGAAGAAGCACCGGCUAACUCCGUGCCAGCCGCCGCCGUAA